RNAcentral lists this transfer RNA (72 nucleotides) under Chelonia mydas (Green sea turtle). It matches the Rfam family "tRNA". Rfam says of the family: Transfer RNA (tRNA) molecules are approximately 80 nucleotides in length. Their secondary structure includes four short double-helical elements and three loops (D, anti-codon, and T loops). Further hydrogen bonds mediate the characteristic L-shaped molecular structure. tRNAs have two regions of fundamental functional importance: the anti-codon, which is responsible for specific mRNA codon recognition, and the 3' end, to which the tRNAs corresponding amino acid is attached (by aminoacyl-tRNA synthetases). tRNAs cope with the degeneracy of the genetic code in two manners: having more than one tRNA (with a specific anti-codon) for a particular amino acid; and 'wobble' base-pairing, i.e. permitting non-standard base-pairing at the 3rd anti-codon position. The record is from Rfam by way of RNAcentral. Lineage: Eukaryota; Metazoa; Chordata; Testudines; Cheloniidae.
GGCAGGAUGGCCCAGUGGUCAGGGCGCUAGUCUGGGACUCAGGAGACCUGGAAUGAAUUCCCAGCUCUGCCA